CGGAGGCCAAGGUCGGGGGAUCACCUGAGGUUGCGAGUUGGAGACCAGCCUGACCAACAUGGAGAAACCCCGUCUCUACUAAAAAUACAAAAUUAGCCAGGCGUGGUGGCGCAUGCCUGUAAUCUCAGUUAUUCAGGAGGCUGAGGCAGGAUAAUCACUUGAACCUGGGAGGAGAAGGUUGUGAUGAGCCAAGAUUGCGCCAUUGCACUCCAGCCUGGGAAACAAGAGUGAAACUCCAUCUCGAAAGCAAACAAACAAACAAAGGACUAACAAAAAGGAGCUGGGCUACUAUGAAUAAUGCUGCUAAUGAACGUUCACAAAUAAGUCUUGUAUGGACGUAUGGCUUCAUUUCUCCAGGAGCUAUGAUCCCUUCUGAGUGUGUAUGAAGGCGUGUAUGGAAUGAGCAUUGAGCACUGAAAAUUAUCUACAAACAACCUCCACAAGCUCCAAAUUCUGCCUCCUUACAUCAACCAGAAUGAUGGUCUUUGUUUGGUUAUAUCCAACCACUGCUACAGCUUGAAACCAACUUUAUCGAGAAAACCAUAGCAAUUAUAAAGCUUCCCUCAUUUGUUUACCUUAUCUCAAUUAUCAUAGUCCUGAGCUGCUUGUGAUCUGCUGUCUAAAACAAUAAUUUUAUAUAGUUGUUUGGAUUUUGAAUUGUUUGCAGGCAUAAAGUAAGUCUUGUUCUUGUUGCUUUUGCUUAUCUGGAAGUAGAAGUUCUCUUACAUAGUGAAAAAACUCCAAGACACAGUCUGAGCAAUGAUUUUCAGAAUAGAAACCCCAGAACAGAAGAAACAAAAACAACAACAUUCAAAUGGAAUUGCAUUAAAUUAAAAACAUUCUGCAGAGCAAAGGAAACAUUCAUCAGAGUAAGGAGAUAACACAGAAUAGGAUAAGAUAUUUGCAAACCAUACAUUUGAUAAGGGGUUAAUAUAUUAAAAAAAUAAGGAAGUCAACAGUGUGAAAACAAAUAACCACAUUAAAAAAUGGGCAAAGGACUUGAAUAGAAAAUUCUCAAAAGAAGACAAAUACUGUCUGGCCUGUCUGAGACAUACGUGUCUGGCCAAAAAAAUAAAUAUACUUCUUUGGCCAAAAGGUAUAUAAAAAUGCCCAAAAUCAAGAACCAGGGUAAUGUAAAUAAUAACCACAAUAAAAUGUCAUCUCACUUCUGUUAGAAUGACCAUUAUUAAAAAGAUGAAAGGCAGCAAGUGUUGCCAAGGAUAUGGAGAAAAAGGAACACUUAGAUACUGUUGAUGGGAAUGUAAAUUGUACAGUAAUUAUGGAAAACAAUAUUGAGGUUCCUCAAAAAAAUUCAAAAUAGAACUACAAUAUGAUAUAGCAAUUCUGCUUCUGGGUAUAUAUCUUAAGAAUAUGAAACCUGGAUGCCCACAAUAUAUCUGUACUCCCAUGUUCAUUACAGCAUUGAUCAUGAUAUCUUAGAUAUCGAUUUAACCUAAGUGUUCAUGGAUAAGUGAAAAGAUUUAAAAAAUGUGAUACACACACACAUGAAUACACACACACACGUAGAAGGAAAUAUUAUUCAGCCUUAAAAUGAAGAAAAUUGUAUUAUUUGCAACAACAUGGAUAAAGGUGAACAACAUGUUAUGUAAAAUAAGCUAGAAACAGACAGACAAAUACUGCAUAAUCUCAUUUAUAUGUGGAAUAUAAAAAUGGAACUCAGAGAAAUAGAGUAGAAUCAUAGUUUCCAGGGCUGGAGGUGAGGAAGAGAAUGGGGCAAAAUUGACCAAAGGUUAUAAAAUUUCAGUUAUGCAGGAUGAAUAAGUUCUUGAGAUCUAAUAUACAACAUGCUGAAUAUAGUUAAUAAAACUUUAUUGUAUAGUUGAAUAAAGUAGAUGUUGAAUUUUCUCAGUAUAGAAAAAAAUGGGAAUUUAUGAGGUGAUUGGUAUGUUAAUAAACUUGAUUAUUGUAACCCUUUUAUAGUAUAUACAUAUACCAAAACACAAUUUACCACCUUUAUUUUCUAAUUAUACCUGUAUUAAUCUGUUUUCACACUGCUGAUUAAGACAUACCAGAGACUGGGCAAUUUACAAAAGAAAGAAGUUUAUUGAACUUACAGUUCCAUGUGCCUGGAGAGACCUCACAAUCAUGGCAGAAGGUGAAAGGCACAUCUCACAUGAUGGCAGACAAGAGAACAGAGCUUGUGCAGGGAAACUCACAUUUUUAAAACCAUCAGAUCUCAUGAGACGUAUUGACUAUCACAAGAACAGCAUAGGAAAGACCCGCCCCCAAGAUUGAAUUACCUCCCACCAGGUUAGAUGAGAUUUGGAUAGGGACAGAGUCAAACCAUAUUAAUAUCCCAUUAAAUCUGGGGGGAGAAAGAUCUGAGUGACUCCUCUACAUUAAAAAAAAACUUCCUUUGAUAUAGCACAUGAAAGAUGAGCCUAAGAAGCCUGAGAAGGUUGAGCACAUUGACAAGAGCUUAUCCAAUGCAAUGUAAACAAAAGACCAGCAAAAUUGAGAGUAAUAAUUUAGGCAGUCUCUCUUGGCCACAAACAACUCCAUGCUAUUGGUAUUUUCCUCACCAGAAACCCUUGCUAUGCCCUUUAAUACUCUGAAUUUAACAGCAGAAUCUUCAAAAUAAAGAAUGAAUAUAUUUUUCUUUGCACAGUUACUUAAUUUCUUGGAAGUUGACUCAACUUUUCUCUUUUAGUGCUUUACCCUAUUAAUUUUGACCAAAAACAUUGAGAAUGUUUACACUGACUAUUCCAGUAAAAUUACUUGACUCUCGUAAUCAUUUGUUGAGAAGUUACUACAUGCAAGGUAGAAGUCCUCAAAAGUAGAAAGUGAGAGGGAAAUUAAAACUAACUUUCAAAUAAACAACUUUUUUUUUUUAUUGCAUUAAGAGCUCAAGAGUUACUGAAAGUCUCUGAUGCAACCCAGUAUGGGUUCACCAAAUUCACCAUUUGAAACCUCUCCUUCACUAGCUUUGACACUGCACUGAGACAGGGGAGUUUACUGCCACUUUUUGCUUUAAGCCUUCUCUUUAUUUGCUGGAUGACUAAAAACUAUUAUUAUGGGGACCCACAGGCUAUUAAGGCUAUAUAGAGAUCUAGGUUAGUAAUUAUGAUUAUAAUAAUAAUAGUAAUAAUAUUACACUAUAUAUAUUAACUUUUUUUGAUUUAGUAAAAUGGAAGUUUAGACAUAUAAUACCUAAGUAACUGGGGGCUAGUGAGGUACAACAUAGAUUUUUAAUUUCCUGAUUUCUCUCAGUUGAGCCUAAACCUAUAAUACCUCUUAAAUUAUUUAAAUUAUGUUUUUUAUAUAUGCCAUAAUUAUUCACUCAUUUAUUAUAAAAUGAUCACUCAGGAAGACUGCACUGAUAUAAGUCUACAAUACAAACUCUGAAGUCCUC
RNAcentral lists this long non-coding RNA (3373 nucleotides) under Homo sapiens (human). RNAcentral describes it as "HSALNT0041119". The record is from RNAcentral. Lineage: Eukaryota; Metazoa; Chordata; Mammalia; Primates; Hominidae.